RNAcentral lists this ribosomal RNA (253 nucleotides) under uncultured bacterium. RNAcentral describes it as "partial 16S ribosomal RNA". It matches the Rfam family "Bacterial small subunit ribosomal RNA", at positions 524 to 776 of the family's 1533-position model. The record is from RNAcentral.
UACGGAGGGGGCUAGCGUUGUUCGGAAUUACUGGGCUUAAAGCGCACGUAGGCGGCUUCGCAAGUCAGAGGUGAAAGCCUGGGGCUCAACCCCGGAACUGCCUUUGAGACUGCGUCGCUCGAAUCAGGGAGAGGUGAGUGGAAUUCCGAGUGUAGAGGUGAAAUUCGUAGAUAUUCGGAAGAACACCAGUGGCGAAGGCGGCUCACUGGACCGGCAUUGACGCUGAGGUGCGAAAGCGUGGGGAGCAAACAGG